GCAGGCUUACACAUGCACGCUCGACGAUGACUCUCUAGCUUGCUAGAGAAGAUUAGUGGCGGACGGGUGAGUAACAUUUAGGAAUCUGCCUAGUAGUGGGGGAUAGCUCGGGGAAACUCGAAUUAAUACCGCAUACGACCUACGGGUGAAAGGGGGCGCAAGCUCUUGCUAUUAGAUGAGCCUAAAUCAGAUUAGCUAGUUGGUGGGGUAAAGGCCCACCAAGGCGACGAUCUGUAACUGGUCUGAGAGGAUGAUCAGUCACACCGGAACUGAGACACGGUCCGGACUCCUACGGGAGGCAGCAGUGGGGAAUAUUGGACAAUGGGGGCAACCCUGAUCCAGCCAUGCCGCGUGUGUGAAGAAGGCCUUUUGGUUGUAAAGCACUUUAAGCAGGGAGGAGAGGCUAAUGGUUAAUACCCAUUAGAUUAGACGUUACCUGCAGAAUAAGCACCGGCUAACUCUGUGCCAGCAGCCGCGGUAAUACAGAGGGUGCGAGCGUUAAUCGGAAUUACUGGGCGUAAAGCGAGUGUAGGUGGCUCAUUAAGUCACAUGUGAAAUCCCCGGGCUUAACCUGGGAACUGCAUGUGAUACUGGUGGUGCUAGAAUAUGUGAGAGGGAAGUAGAAUUCCAGGUGUAGCGGUGAAAUGCGUAGAGAUCUGGAGGAAUACCGAUGGCGAAGGCAGCUUCCUGGCAUAAUAUUGACACUGAGAUUCGAAAGCGUGGGUAGCAAACAGGAUUAGAUACCCUGGUAGUCCACGCCGUAAACGAUGUCUACUAGCCGUUGGGGUCCUUGAGACUUUAGUGGCGCAGUUAACGCGAUAAGUAGACCGCCUGGGGAGUACGGCCGCAAGGUUAAAACUCAAAUGAAUUGACGGGGGCCCGCACAAGCGGUGGAGCAUGUGGUUUAAUUCGAUGCAACGCGAAGAACCUUACCUGGUCUUGACAUAGUGAGAAUCCUGCAGAGAUGCGGGAGUGCCUUCGGGAAUUCACAUACAGGUGCUGCAUGGCUGUCGUCAGCUCGUGUCGUGAGAUGUUGGGUUAAGUCCCGCAACGAGCGCAACCCUUUUCCUUAUUUGCCAGCGGGUUAAGCCGGGAACUUUAAGGAUACUGCCAGUGACAAACUGGAGGAAGGCGGGGACGACGUCAAGUCAUCAUGGCCCUUACGACCAGGGCUACACACGUGCUACAAUGGUAGGUACAGAGGGUUGCUACACAGCGAUGUGAUGCUAAUCUCAAAAAGCCUAUCGUAGUCCGGAUUGGAGUCUGCAACUCGACUCCAUGAAGUCGGAAUCGCUAGUAAUCGCAGAUCAGAAUGCUGCGGUGAAUACGUUCCCGGGCCUUGUACACACCGCCCGUCACACCAUGGGAGUCUAUGCACCAGAAGUAGGAGCCUAACGCAAGAGGGCGGUACCGCGGGUUGGCG
This 1423-nucleotide ribosomal RNA is filed under the name Faucicola osloensis. RNAcentral describes it as "bacterial SSU rRNA". It matches the Rfam family "Bacterial small subunit ribosomal RNA". Lineage: Bacteria; Pseudomonadati; Pseudomonadota; Gammaproteobacteria; Moraxellales; Moraxellaceae. The record is from RNAcentral.